UGGGGAAUAUUGCACAAUGGGCGCAAGCCUGAUGCAGCCAUGCCGCGUGUGUGAAGAAGGCCUUCGGGUUGUAAAGCACUUUCAGCGAGGAGGAAGGUGGUGAGCUUAAUACGCUCAUCAAUUGACGUUACUCGCAGAAGAAGCACCGGCUAACUCCGUGCCAGCAGCCGCGGUAAUACGGAGGGUGCAAGCGUUAAUCGGAAUUACUGGGCGUAAAGCGCACGCAGGCGGUUUGUUAAGUCAGAUGUGAAAUCCCCGGGCUCAACCUGGGAACUGCGUUUGAAACUGGCAAGCUAGAGUCUCGUAGAGGGGGGUAGAAUUCCAGGUGUAGCGGUGAAAUGCGUAGAGAUCUGGAGGAAUACCGGUGGCGAAGGCGGCCCCCUGGACGAAGACUGACGCUCAGGUGCGAAAGCGUGGGGAGCAAAACAGGAUUAGAUACCCUGGUAGUCCACGCUGUAAAACGAUGUCGAUUUUGGAGGUUGUGCCCUUGAGGCGUGGCUUCCGGAGCUAACGCGUUAAAUCGACCGCCUGGGGAGUACGGCCGCAAGGUUAAAACUC
This 558-nucleotide ribosomal RNA is filed under the name uncultured bacterium. RNAcentral's name for it is "partial 16S ribosomal RNA". It matches the Rfam family "Bacterial small subunit ribosomal RNA", at positions 355 to 902 of the family's 1533-position model. The record is from RNAcentral.